CUGGGGUUCAUGAUUAAUUAAGUGGAGGAGAGCCAUGUUCUGAACAGAUACACUCUAGAUAAUCAUGCAUCUUUUGACUAUGGAGAUAAUCAGCCAGUGCCUCUGACCAAGCCAUGUUUUAAUCCAAGAGUAACUACCCUUGGAGAAUAUCGCCUGUUUCCGGGAGUAAGAAGAAAAUGGUCUGCACCAUGGCAACAUGUAUUACUACUGGCUGCCCAGUGGAGCAAAAGUUAUCCACUGAUCCAACUACUGCACCUGUAGUCAGAGAGGAAUCUGUUUCUGGUCUUCAACUAAC
Molecule: long non-coding RNA, 295 nt
Filed under: Bos indicus x Bos taurus (hybrid cattle)
Lineage: Eukaryota; Metazoa; Chordata; Mammalia; Artiodactyla; Bovidae
Description: lncRNA (ENSBIXG00000028752.1)
Source: RNAcentral